CAUGCCGUAAACGGUGGGCGCUAGGUGUAGGGGUCUUCCACGACUUCUGUGCCGUAGCUAACGCAUUAAGCGCCCCGCCUGGGGAGUACGGCCGCAAGGCUAAAACUCAAAGGAAUUGACGGGGGCCCGCACAAGCAGUGGAGUAUGUGGUUUAAUUCGAAGCAACGCGAAGAACCUUACCAGGGCUUGACAUCCUCGGACGACACUAGAGAUAGUGUUUUCUCUUCGGAGACUGAGAGACAGGUGG
Molecule: ribosomal RNA, 247 nt
Filed under: uncultured Actinobacteridae bacterium
Lineage: Bacteria; Bacillati; Actinomycetota; Actinomycetes
Description: partial 16S ribosomal RNA
Rfam family: Bacterial small subunit ribosomal RNA
Source: RNAcentral